Molecule: ribosomal RNA, 506 nt
Filed under: uncultured bacterium
Lineage: Bacteria
Description: partial 16S ribosomal RNA
Rfam family: Bacterial small subunit ribosomal RNA
Source: RNAcentral
AGUGAACGCUGGCGGUAGGCCUAACACAUGCAAGUCGAACGGCAGCACAGGAGAGCUUGCUCUCUGGGUGGCGAGUGGCGGACGGGUGAGGAAUACAUCGGAAUCUACUCUGUCGUGGGGGAUAACGUAGGGAAACUUACGCUAAUACCGCAUACGACCUACGGGUGAAAGCAGGGGAUCUUCGGACCUUGCGCGAUUGAAUGAGCCGAUGUCGGAUUAGCUAGUUGGCGGGGUAAAGGCCCACCAAGGCGACGAUCCGUAGCUGGUCUGAGAGGAUGAUCAGCCACACUGGAACUGAGACACGGCCCAGACUCCUACGGGAGGCAGCAGUGGGGAAUAUUGGACAAUGGGCGCAAGCCUGAUCCAGCCAUACCGCGUGGGUGAAGAAGGCCUUCGGGUUGUAAAGCCCUUUUGUUGGGAUAGAAAUCCAGCUGGUUAAUACCCGGUUGGGAUGACGGUACCCAAAGAAUAAGCACCGGCUAACUUCGUGCCAGCCGCCGCAGUAA